This 545-nucleotide ribosomal RNA is filed under the name Grammistes sexlineatus. RNAcentral's name for it is "partial 16S large subunit ribosomal RNA". The stretch from base 193 to 545 matches the Rfam family "Bacterial large subunit ribosomal RNA", at positions 568 to 1050 of the family's 2925-position model. Lineage: Eukaryota; Metazoa; Chordata; Actinopteri; Perciformes; Serranidae. The record is from RNAcentral.
CGCCGACUAGCUAGCCCGCUUAUCCAAAAACAACAAAUCACUAUCAAUACCCCCUAAUACAAUCCACCCACAAUUUAAUCAAAUCAUUUUUCCUCCCUAGUAUGGGCGACAGAAAAGAACAUACGGAGCAAUAGACAAAGUACCGCAAGGGAACCCUGAAAGAGAAAUGAAACAAGUCAGUAAAGCCCCAAGAAGCAGAGAUUUCACCUCGUACCUUUUGCAUCAUGAUUUAGCCAGAGAAAAUCAAGCAAAAUGCAUUUUAGUUUGACAACCCGAAACUAUGUGAGCUACUCCGAGACAGCCUAUUAAUAGGGCGAACCCGUCUCUGUGGCAAAAGAGUGGGAAGAGCUCUGAGUAGAGGUGACAGACCUACCGAACUUAGUUAUAGCUGGUUGCCCGAGAAUUGAAUAGAAGUUCAGCCUCCCGGCUUCUCCACUCCACCCCUGGUUCCACCGCCAAUGAUCCAAAGAAACCGCGAGAGUUAGUCAAAGGGGGUACAGCCCCUUUGAAACAGACACAACUUUAUCAGAAGGAUUAAGAUCAUA